GGGUUGUGAGGUUAAGCGACUAAGCGUACACGGUGGAUGCCCUGGCAGUCAGAGGCGAUGAAGGGCGUGCUAAUCUGCGAUAAGCGCCGGUAAGGUGAUAUGAACCGUUAUAACCGGCGAUACCCGAAUGGGGAAACCCAGUGUGAUUCGUCACACUAUCAUUAACUGAAUCCAUAGGUUAAUGAGGCGAACCGGGGGAACUGAAACAUCUAAGUACCCCGAGGAAAAGAAAUCAACCGAGAUUCCCCCAGUAGCGGCGAGCGAACGGGGAGGAGCCCAGAGCCUGAAUCAGCAUGUGUGUUAGUGGAAGCGUCUGGAAAGGCGCGCGAUACAGGGUGACAGCCCCGUACACAAAAGCGCAUGUGCUGUGAGCUCGAUGAGUAGGGCGGGACACGUGGUAUCCUGUCUGAAUAUGGGGGACCAUCCUCCAAGGCUAAAUACUCCUGACUGACCGAUAGUGAACCAGUACCGUGAGGGAAAGGCGAAAAGAACCCCGGCGAGGGGAGUGAAAAAGAACCUGAAACCGUGUACGUACAAGCAGUGGGAGCACAGGUUUACCUGUGUGACUGCGUACCUUUUGUAUAAUGGGUCAGCGACUUAUAUUCUGUAGCAAGGUUAACCGAAUAGGGGAGCCGGAGGGAAACCGAGUCUUAAUUGGGCGUUAAGUUGCAGGGUAUAGACCCGAAACCCGGUGAUCUAGCCAUGGGCAGGUUGAAGGUUGGGUAACACUAACUGGAGGACCGAACCGACUAAUGUUGAAAAAUUAGCGGAUGACCUGUGGCUGGGGGUGAAAGGCCAAUCAAACCGGGAGAUAGCUGGUUCUCCCCGAAAGCUAUUUAGGUAGCGCCUCGUGAAUUCAUCUCCGGGGGUAGAGCACUGUUUCGGCUAGGGGGCCAUCCCGGCUUACCAACCCGAUGCAAACUGCGAAUACCGGAGAAUGUUAUCACGGGAGACACACGGCGGGUGCUAACGUCCGUCGUGAAGAGGGAAACAACCCAGACCGCCAGCUAAGGUCCCAAAGUCAUGGUUAAGUGGGAAACGAUGUGGGAAGGCCCAGACAGCCAGGAUGUUGGCUUAGAAGCAGCCAUCAUUUAAAGAAAGCGUAAUAGCUCACUGGUCGAGUCGGCCUGCGCGGAAGAUGUAACGGGGCUAAACCAUGCACCGAAGCUGCGGCAGCGACACUGUGUGUUGUUGGGUAGGGGAGCGUUCUGUAAGCCUGUGAAGGUGUGUCGUGAGGCAUGCUGGAGGUAUCAGAAGUGCGAAUGCUGACAUAAGUAACGAUAAAGCGGGUGAAAAGCCCGCUCGCCGGAAGACCAAGGGUUCCUGUCCAACGUUAAUCGGGGCAGGGUGAGUCGACCCCUAAGGCGAGGCCGAAAGGCGUAGUCGAUGGGAAACGGGUUAAUAUUCCCGUACUUGGUGUUACUGCGAAGGGGGGACGGAGAAGGCUAUGUUGGCCGGGCGACGGUUGUCCCGGUUUAAGCGUGUAGGUGUGUGUUCCAGGUAAAUCCGGUUCACUUUAACACUGAGGCGUGACGACGAGGCACUACGGUGCUGAAGCAACAAAUGCCCUGCUUCCAGGAAAAGCCUCUAAGCAUCAGGUAACAUCAAAUCGUACCCCAAACCGACACAGGUGGUCAGGUAGAGAAUACCAAGGCGCUUGAGAGAACUCGGGUGAAGGAACUAGGCAAAAUGGUGCCGUAACUUCGGGAGAAGGCACGCUGACACGUAGGUGAAGUGAUUUACUCAUGGAGCUGAAGUCAGUCGAAGAUACCAGCUGGCUGCAACUGUUUAUUAAAAACACAGCACUGUGCAAACACGAAAGUGGACGUAUACGGUGUGACGCCUGCCCGGUGCCGGAAGGUUAAUUGAUGGGGUCAGCGCAAGCGAAGCUCCUGAUCGAAGCCCCGGUAAACGGCGGCCGUAACUAUAACGGUCCUAAGGUAGCGAAAUUCCUUGUCGGGUAAGUUCCGACCUGCACGAAUGGCGUAAUGAUGGCCAGGCUGUCUCCACCCGAGACUCAGUGAAAUUGAACUCGCUGUGAAGAUGCAGUGUACCCGCGGCAAGACGGAAAGACCCCGUGAACCUUUACUAUAGCUUGACACUGAACAUUGAGCCUUGAUGUGUAGGAUAGGUGGGAGGCUUUGAAGUGUGGACGCCAGUCUGCAUGGAGCCGACCUUGAAAUACCACCCUUUAAUGUUUGAUGUUCUAACGUGGACCCGUUACCCGGGUUGCGGACAGUGUCUGGUGGGUAGUUUGACUGGGGCGGUCUCCUCCUAAAGAGUAACGGAGGAGCACGAAGGUUGGCUAAUCCUGGUCGGACAUCAGGAGGUUAGUGCAAUGGCAUAAGCCAGCUUGACUGCGAGCGUGACGGCGCGAGCAGGUGCGAAAGCAGGUCAUAGUGAUCCGGUGGUUCUGAAUGGAAGGGCCAUCGCUCAACGGAUAAAAGGUACUCCGGGGAUAACAGGCUGAUACCGCCCAAGAGUUCAUAUCGACGGCGGUGUUUGGCACCUCGAUGUCGGCUCAUCACAUCCUGGGGCUGAAGUAGGUCCCAAGGGUAUGGCUGUUCGCCAUUUAAAGUGGUACGCGAGCUGGGUUUAGAACGUCGUGAGACAGUUCGGUCCCUAUCUGCCGUGGGCGCUGGAGAACUGAGGGGGCUGCUCCUAGUACGAGAGGACCGGAGUGGACGCAUCACUGGUGUUCGGGUUGUCAUGCCAAUGGCACUGCCCGGUAGCUAAAUGCGGAAGAGAUAAGUGCUGAAAGCAUCUAAGCACGAAACUUGCCCCGAGAUGAGUUCUCCCUGAGACUUAGAGUCUCCUGAAGGAACGUUGAAGACGACGACGUUGAUAGGCCGGGUGUGUAAGCGCAGCGAUGCGUUGAGCUAACCGGUACUAAUGAACCGUGAGGCUUAACCUUACAACGCCGAAG
RNAcentral lists this ribosomal RNA (2926 nucleotides) under Salmonella enterica subsp. enterica serovar Enteritidis. Its description in RNAcentral is "23S ribosomal RNA". It matches the Rfam family "Bacterial large subunit ribosomal RNA". The record is from RNAcentral. Lineage: Bacteria; Pseudomonadati; Pseudomonadota; Gammaproteobacteria; Enterobacterales; Enterobacteriaceae.